UGCUGCUUAAAUUUUUAAGGAGAGGAAAGUCCGGGCUCCACAGAGCAAGAGGGCAGCUAACGGCUGGUAAAGGAAACUUUAAGGAAAGUGCCACAGAAAAGAAACCGCCAUUAAAGGUAAGGGUGAAAAGGUGGUGUAAGAGACCACCAGCGUCGUGGCAACACGGCGGCUUGGCAAGCCCCUUCCGGAGCAAGCGCGAAUAGGAGCGCCAUGGGUCGGCCCGGCCCGCGCUCGGGUAGCGUGCGAAGAACUGCACGGUGACGUGCAGGCGAGAUAAAUGAUCGUCCACGACAGAACCCGGCUUAUCGGCCCGCUUC
RNAcentral lists this RNase P RNA (317 nucleotides) under uncultured Fusobacterium sp. Its description in RNAcentral is "Bacterial RNase P class A". It matches the Rfam family "Bacterial RNase P class A". Rfam says of the family: Ribonuclease P (RNase P) is a ubiquitous endoribonuclease, found in archaea, bacteria and eukarya as well as chloroplasts and mitochondria. Its best characterised activity is the generation of mature 5'-ends of tRNAs by cleaving the 5'-leader elements of precursor-tRNAs. The record is from RNAcentral. Lineage: Bacteria; Fusobacteriati; Fusobacteriota; Fusobacteriia; Fusobacteriales; Fusobacteriaceae.